CGCAUGCAGGUGGUUUGUUAAGUCAGAUGUGAAAAGCCCCGGGGCUCAACCUCGGAAAUUGCAUUUUGAAAACUGGCAAACUAGAGUACUGUAGAGGGGGGUAGAAUUUCAGGUGUAGCGGUGAAAUGCGUAGAGAUCUGAAGGAAUACCGGUGGCGAAGGCGGCCCCCCUGGACAGAUACUGACACUCAGAUGCGAAAGCGUGGGGAGCAAACAGGAUUAGAUACCCCUGGUAG
RNAcentral lists this ribosomal RNA (235 nucleotides) under uncultured bacterium. RNAcentral describes it as "partial 16S ribosomal RNA". It matches the Rfam family "Bacterial small subunit ribosomal RNA", at positions 567 to 793 of the family's 1533-position model. The record is from RNAcentral.